This 21-nucleotide non-coding RNA is filed under the name Caenorhabditis elegans. The record is from RNAcentral. Lineage: Eukaryota; Metazoa; Nematoda; Chromadorea; Rhabditida; Rhabditidae.
UGAAUUUGGCUACCGGCGAAC